AGCGAACGCUGGCGGCAGGCCUAACACAUGCAAGUCGAACGAAGUCUUCGGACUUAGUGGCGGACGGGUGAGUAACACGUGGGAACGUGCCUUUAGGUUCGGAAUAACUCAGGGAAACUUGUGCUAAUACCGAAUGUGCCCUUCGGGGGAAAGAUUUAUCGCCUUUAGAGCGGCCCGCGUCUGAUUAGCUAGUUGGUGAGGUAAAGGCACACCAAGGCGACGAUCAGUAGCUGGUCUGAGAGGAUGAUCAGCCACAUUGGGACUGAGACACGGCCCAAACUCCUACGGGAGGCAGCAGUGGGGAAUCUUGCGCAAUGGGCGAAAGCCUGACGCAGCCAUGCCGCGUGAAUGUUGAAGGUCUUAGGAUUGUAAAAUUCUUUCACCGGGGACGAUAAUGACGGUACCCGGAGAAGAAGCCCCGGCUAACUUCGUGCCAGCCGCCGCGGUAA
This 449-nucleotide ribosomal RNA is filed under the name uncultured bacterium. Its description in RNAcentral is "partial 16S ribosomal RNA". It matches the Rfam family "Bacterial small subunit ribosomal RNA", at positions 29 to 523 of the family's 1533-position model. The record is from RNAcentral.